Molecule: ribosomal RNA, 303 nt
Filed under: uncultured bacterium
Lineage: Bacteria
Description: partial 16S ribosomal RNA
Rfam family: Bacterial small subunit ribosomal RNA
Source: RNAcentral
AGCAGUCGCCGCGGGAAUACGAAGGGUGCAAGCGUUAAUCGGAAUUACUGGGCGUAAAGCGUGCGUAGGCGGUGAGUUAAGUCUGCUGUGAAAUCCCCGGGCUCAACCUGGGAAUGGCAGUGGAUACUGGCUCGCUAGAGUGUGUCAGAGGAUGGUGGAAUUCCCGGUGUAGCGGUGAGAUGCGUAGAGAUCGGGAGGAACAUCAGUGGCGAAGGCGGCCAUCUGGGACAACACUGACGCUGAGGCACGAAAGCGUGGGGAGCAAACAGGAUUAGAUACCCCCGUAGUCCCUGUCUCUUAUAC